Hydra vulgaris (swiftwater hydra) is the source of this 303-nucleotide long non-coding RNA. RefSeq lists it as uncharacterized. The record is from RefSeq and is a predicted model, not a curated record. NCBI's taxonomy places the organism in Eukaryota, Metazoa, Cnidaria, Hydrozoa, Anthoathecata, Hydridae.
UGUUUAAAGUUUCUAAAAUUUUAUUGGUUUCAUUGAAAUUGAAAACAUAAGCGUUGAUUACUAUAAUUCUAGCUAUAGGUUGUGGGUAACCAUUACCACCUUAUUUAACAAACUUCUCAACUUAACCAAAAUUUACGAAUAGCAGCGAAAAGACUUUUUUUUCAAAAGUAGGCUCGGUUGUGGUCUUUAUCUUUAGCUUGUAGGUUAUACUUGGUGCAAAAAGCCUAAUUCAGGUUGGGGGGGGGGCACACGCCCCUUCCACAAGUUAAUAAGCACACCACCAUUAAAUGAAUUUCUUGAAGC